Molecule: long non-coding RNA, 203 nt
Organism: Puntigrus tetrazona (Sumatra barb)
Lineage: Eukaryota; Metazoa; Chordata; Actinopteri; Cypriniformes; Cyprinidae
Exons: 3
Source: RefSeq, a predicted model, not a curated record
UGGAGGAAUACCAGGUAACUAAAACUUUGAAGCACAGCACCAGACGCCAACUUGUCAAUAUUGUUGUCAGUCACAUGACAGAGACUUACGGGAGGAUCCCCACCCGCAAACAGCGUGAGACUUAUGCUUUAGGAAUUGUUAGUCUCUUUCCUUCUUUGAGAGACCCAUUUUCAGCAAAGGGCUAUGAACAUUUUUAUGAUCCU